RNAcentral lists this long non-coding RNA (852 nucleotides) under Pan troglodytes (chimpanzee). RNAcentral's name for it is "long non-coding RNA NONPTRT005339". The record is from RNAcentral. Lineage: Eukaryota; Metazoa; Chordata; Mammalia; Primates; Hominidae.
CAAAGAUUCUCUUAAAGAGAAAUUCUCUUAAGGUUGAAAUCUGAGGGUUUAGGGGUGGAUUCUGGCAGAUCCUAAGGUCUGGGAUCUCUGGAAAGCCCUGAAAUUUAUGCAUUUCACCAUGAUGAAGACAUCUAGUAGGUUUUAAGAAAAAUAAGAGAGUAGUGGAUUAAUCACUGGUUAAGAGCCAACAGACUUCACUCCUCCAACAAUCAGCUAUGAUACUGUGUCUGUGUCUACAUUAUGCAUUUUCAAAAGGCGAAGAGUUGAUUCCAGAAGGAACUGUGAAGAGCCACAACAAUGUGCCAGUGAAUAAUGAGUAGUACCUACUGUGGCAACUCUUCAGCUAAGAUGAGUGUCAACGAAGUAUCAGCUUUCUCAUUGACUCUGGAGCAAAAAACUGGCUUUGCUUUUGUUGGGAUUUUGUGUAUCUUCUUGGGACUUCUUAUUAUCCGAUGCUUCAAAAUCCUGCUAGACCCAUAUAGUAGCAUGCCUUCCUCUACAUGGGAAGAUGAAGUUGAAGAGUUUGAUAAAGGGACAUUUGAAUAUGCACUCGCGUGAGAGUUCCAGCUAUAUGGUUUUUAUGGUUGUGCCAUCGGGACACAUUCUGGAUACAAUUGUAACUACCUUGAGGGUGUGGGAGAGAGGCUCAUUUUGUUCAGUGAAUUCAAUAAACAUCUGUGACUAAUUUCUUCACCAUGCUGUGUAAAUGAUAAACUAUUGUUGGGAUUCCUCACUUUCCUCUGUUCCCACUUAGAGGUUUCCAAUGAAUAGAGCAUAAGGAUGGCUGCAGCCAUGUUUACCAUCUUUAUUCUUAUCUUGAACAACUGCCUUGAAUUUCUGCUUCCUUUCUUG